Molecule: ribosomal RNA, 381 nt
Filed under: uncultured bacterium
Lineage: Bacteria
Description: bacterial SSU rRNA
Rfam family: Bacterial small subunit ribosomal RNA
Source: RNAcentral
AAUGAACGCUGGUGGCAGACCUAACACAUGCAAGUCGAACGGUACUAUUAUUAAACUUCGGUUUUUUAUAGAUAGUGGCAAACGGGUGAGUAAAGCAUGGGAAUCUACCUAGAAGUUUGGAAUAGCUAUUAGAAAUGAUAGAUAAGUACCAAAUACACCUCGAGAGGGUAAAGUUGACUUCGGUCUUCGCUUUUAAAAAUGAGCCCAUGUUAAAUUAGUUAGUUGGUAGGGUAAUGGCCUUACCAAGAUGAUGAUUUAUAGCUGGUCUUAGAGGAUGAUCAGCCACACUGGAAUUGAGAUACGGUCCAGACUCCGUACGGAGGCAGCAGUGGGAAUAUUGGACAAUGGGCGCAAGCCUGAUCCAGUCAUGCCACGUGAGUG